This 253-nucleotide ribosomal RNA is filed under the name uncultured bacterium. RNAcentral describes it as "partial 16S ribosomal RNA". It matches the Rfam family "Bacterial small subunit ribosomal RNA", at positions 524 to 776 of the family's 1533-position model. The record is from RNAcentral.
GACGAAGGGGGCUAGCGUUGUUCGGAAUUACUGGGCGUAAAGCGCGUGUAGGCGGUUAUCCAAGUCAGGGGUGAAAGCCUUGAGCUCAACUCAAGAAAUGCACUUGGUACUGGGUGACUAGAGGACCGGAGAGGAUAGUGGAAUUCCCAGUGUAGUGGUGAAAUACGUAGAGAUUGGGAAGAACACCAGUGGCGAAGGCGGCUAUCUGGACGGUUUCUGACGCUAAGACGCGAAAGCGUGGGGAGCAAACAGG